Molecule: ribosomal RNA, 22 nt
Filed under: Bartonella quintana
Lineage: Bacteria; Pseudomonadati; Pseudomonadota; Alphaproteobacteria; Hyphomicrobiales; Bartonellaceae
Description: partial 23S ribosomal RNA
Source: RNAcentral
AUCAAGUGUCUAAAGGGCAUUU